CUGAUAGCUCAGUCGGUAGAGCAGAGGAUUGAAAAUCCUCGUGUCGGUGGUUCGAUUCCACCUCAG
RNAcentral lists this transfer RNA (66 nucleotides) under marine eukaryotic metagenome. It matches the Rfam family "tRNA". From Rfam's summary of the family: Transfer RNA (tRNA) molecules are approximately 80 nucleotides in length. Their secondary structure includes four short double-helical elements and three loops (D, anti-codon, and T loops). Further hydrogen bonds mediate the characteristic L-shaped molecular structure. tRNAs have two regions of fundamental functional importance: the anti-codon, which is responsible for specific mRNA codon recognition, and the 3' end, to which the tRNAs corresponding amino acid is attached (by aminoacyl-tRNA synthetases). tRNAs cope with the degeneracy of the genetic code in two manners: having more than one tRNA (with a specific anti-codon) for a particular amino acid; and 'wobble' base-pairing, i.e. permitting non-standard base-pairing at the 3rd anti-codon position. The record is from RNAcentral.